GUAACGGGGCUGAAAUAUAGCACCGAAGCUGCGGCAUCAG
Molecule: ribosomal RNA, 40 nt
Filed under: Haemophilus influenzae
Lineage: Bacteria; Pseudomonadati; Pseudomonadota; Gammaproteobacteria; Pasteurellales; Pasteurellaceae
Description: partial 23S ribosomal RNA
Source: RNAcentral